UGUUUCGGCUAGGGGGCCAUCCCGGCUUACCAACCCGAUGCAAACUGCGAAUACCGGAGAAUGUUAUCACGGGAGACACACGGCGGGUGCUAACGUCCGUCGUGAAGAGGGAAACAACCCAGACCGCCAGCUAAGGUCCCAAAGUCAUGGUUAAGUGGGAAACGAUGUGGGAAGGCCCAGACAGCCAGGAUGUUGGCUUAGAAGCAGCCAUCAUUUAAAGAAAGCGUAAUAGCUCACUGGUCGAGUCGGCCUGCGCGGAAGAUGUAACGGGGCUAAACCAUGCACCGAAGCUGCGGCAGCGACACUCAGGUGUUGUUGGGUAGGGGAGCGUUCUGUAAGCCUGCGAAGGUGGCCUGUGAGGGUUGCUGGAGGUAUCAGAAGUGCGAAUGCUGACAUAAGUAACGAUAAAGCGGGUGAAAAGCCCGCUCGCCGGAAGACCAAGGGUUCCUGUCCAACGUUAAUCGGGGCAGGGUGAGUCGACCCCUAAGGCGAGGCCGAAAGGCGUAGUCGAUGGGAAACGGGUUAAUAUUCCCGUACUUGGUGUUACUGCGAAGGGGGGACGGAGAAGGCUAUGUUGGCCGGGCGACGGUUGUCCCGGUUUAAGCGUGUAGGUGUGUGUUCCAGGUAAAUCCGGUUCACUUUAACACUGAGGCGUGAUGACGAGGCACUACGGUGCUGAAGCAACAAAUGCCCUGCUUCCAGGAAAAGCCUCUAAGCAUCAGGUAACAUCAAAUCGUACCCCAAACCGACACAGGUGGUCAGGUAGAGAAUACCAAGGCGCUUGAGAGAACUCGGGUGAAGGAACUAGGCAAAAUGGUGCCGUAACUUCGGGAGAAGGCACGCUGACACGUAGGUGAAGUGAUUUACUCAUGGAGCUGAAGUCAGUCGAAGAUACCAGCUGGCUGCAACUGUUUAUUAAAAACACAGCACUGUGCAAACACGAAAGUGGACGUAUACGGUGUGACGCCUGCCCGGUGCCGGAAGGUUAAUUGAUGGGGUCAGCGCAAGCGAAGCUCCUGAUCGAAGCCCCGGUAAACGGCGGCCGUAACUAUAACGGUCCUAAGGUAGCGAAAUUCCUUGUCGGGUAAGUUCCGACCUGCACGAAUGGCGUAAUGAUGGCCAGGCUGUCUCCACCCGAGACUCAGUGAAAUUGAACUCGCUGUGAAGAUGCAGUGUACCCGCGGCAAGACGGAAAGACCCCGUGAACCUUUACUAUAGCUUGACACUGAACAUUGAGCCUUGAUGUGUAGGAUAGGUGGGAGGCUUUGAAGUGUGGACGCCAGUCUGCAUGGAGCCGGCCUUGAAAUACCACCCUUUAAUGUUUGAUGUUCUAACGUGGACCCGUGAUCCGGGUUGCGGACAGUGUCUGGUGGGUAGUUUGACUGGGGCGGUCUCCUCCUAAAGAGUAACGGAGGAGCACGAAGGUUGGCUAAUCCUGGUCGGACAUCAGGAGGUUAGUGCAAUGGCAUAAGCCAGCUUGACUGCGAGCGUGACGGCGCGAGCAGGUGCGAAAGCAGGUCAUAGUGAUCCGGUGGUUCUGAAUGGAAGGGCCAUCGCUCAACGGAUAAAAGGUACUCCGGGGAUAACAGGCUGAUACCGCCCAAGAGUUCAUAUCGACGGCGGUGUUUGGCACCUCGAUGUCGGCUCAUCACAUCCUGGGGCUGAAGUAGGUCCCAAGGGUAUGGCUGUUCGCCAUUUAAAGUGGUACGCGAGCUGGGUUUAGAACGUCGUGAGACAGUUCGGUCCCUAUCUGCCGUGGGCGCUGGAGAACUGAGGGGGGCUGCUCCUAGUACGAGAGGACCGGAGUGGACGCAUCACUGGUGUUCGGGUUGUCAUGCCAAUGGCACUGCCCGGUAGCUAAAUGCGGAAGAGAUAAGUGCUGAAAGCAUCUAAGCACGAAACUUGCCCCGAGAUGAGUUCUCCCUGAGACUUUAGGUCUCCUGAAGGAACGUUGAAGACGACGACGUUGAUAGGCCGGGUGUGUAAGCGCAGCGAUGCGUUGAGCUAACCGGUACUAAUGAACCGUGAGGCUUAACCUUACA
This 2042-nucleotide ribosomal RNA is filed under the name Salmonella enterica. RNAcentral's name for it is "partial 23S ribosomal RNA". It matches the Rfam family "Bacterial large subunit ribosomal RNA", at positions 911 to 2925 of the family's 2925-position model. The record is from RNAcentral. Lineage: Bacteria; Pseudomonadati; Pseudomonadota; Gammaproteobacteria; Enterobacterales; Enterobacteriaceae. RNAcentral also lists the same sequence under 1 other name.